UACGUAGGGUGCGAGCGUUGUCCGGAAUUAUUGGGCGUAAAGGGCUCGUAGGCGGUUUGUCGCGUCGGGAGUGAAAACUCAGGGCUUAACCCUGAGCCUGCUUCCGAUACGGGCAGACUAGAGGUAUGCAGGGGAGAACGGAAUUCCUGGGUGUAGCGGUGAAAUGCGCAGAGUAUCAGGAGGAACACCGGUGGCGAAGGCGGUCUCUGGGCAUUACCUGACGCUGAGGAGCGAAAGUGUGGGGAGCGAACAGG
This 254-nucleotide ribosomal RNA is filed under the name uncultured bacterium. RNAcentral's name for it is "partial 16S ribosomal RNA". It matches the Rfam family "Bacterial small subunit ribosomal RNA", at positions 524 to 776 of the family's 1533-position model. The record is from RNAcentral.